GCUCUUGCAUCGAUGAAGAACGUAGCGAAAUGCGAUACUUGGUGUGAAUUGCAGAAUCCCGUGAACCAUCGAGUCUUUGAACGCAAGUUGCGCCCGAAGCCAUUAGGCCGAGGGCACGCCUGCCUGGGUGUUGCACAUCGUCGCCCCCGUGCCUUGGCCACGU
This 163-nucleotide ribosomal RNA is filed under the name Lupinus hispanicus. RNAcentral's name for it is "5.8S ribosomal RNA". The stretch from base 1 to 133 matches the Rfam family "5.8S ribosomal RNA", at positions 24 to 154 of the family's 154-position model. From Rfam's summary of the family: 5.8S ribosomal RNA (5.8S rRNA) is a component of the large subunit of the eukaryotic ribosome. It is transcribed by RNA polymerase I as part of the 45S precursor that also contains 18S and 28S rRNA. Functionally, it is thought that 5.8S rRNA may be involved in ribosome translocation. Lineage: Eukaryota; Viridiplantae; Streptophyta; Magnoliopsida; Fabales; Fabaceae. The record is from RNAcentral.